GUGGGGAAUAUUGCACAAUGGGCGAAAGCCUGAUGCAGCAACGCCGCGUGAGUGAUGAAGGUCUUCGGAUUGUAAAGCUCUGUCUUUUGGGACGAUAAUGACGGUACCAAAGGAGGAAGCCACGGCUAACUACGUGCCAGCAGCCGCGGUAAUACGUAGGUGGCAAGCGUUGUCCGGAUUUACUGGGCGUAAAGGGUGCGUAGGCGGAUAUUUAAGUGGGAUGUGAAAACCCCGGGCUUAACUUGGGGACUGCAUUCCAAACUGGAUAUCUAGAGUGCGGGAGAGGAAAGUGGAAUUCCUAGUGUAGCGGUGAAAUGCGUAGAGAUUAGGAAGAACCCCAGUGGCGAAGGCGACUUUCUGGACCGUAACUGACGCUGAGGCACGAAAGCGUGGGGAGCAAACAGGAUUAGAAACCCUUGUAGUCC
RNAcentral lists this ribosomal RNA (425 nucleotides) under uncultured bacterium. Its description in RNAcentral is "bacterial SSU rRNA". It matches the Rfam family "Bacterial small subunit ribosomal RNA", at positions 354 to 796 of the family's 1533-position model. The record is from RNAcentral.